RNAcentral lists this ribosomal RNA (446 nucleotides) under uncultured bacterium. Its description in RNAcentral is "SSU rRNA". It matches the Rfam family "Bacterial small subunit ribosomal RNA", at positions 26 to 518 of the family's 1533-position model. The record is from RNAcentral.
AGAGCGAACGCUGGCGGCAGGCCUAACACAUGCAAGUCGAGCGGCCGUAGCAAUACGGCAGCGGCAGACGGGAUAGUAACACGUGGGAACGCGCCCUUCGGUUCGGAAUAACUCAGGGAAACUUGAGCUAAUACCGGAUACGCCCUUACGGGGAAAGAUUUAUUGCCGAAGGAACGGCCCGCGUCCGAUUAGCUAGUUGGUGAGGUAAUGGCUCACCAAGGCUACGAUCGGUAGCUGGUCUGAGAGGAUGACCAGCAUCACUGGGACUGAGACACGGCCCAGACUCCUACGGGAGGCAGCAGUGGGGAAUAUUGGACAAUGGGCGCAAGCCUGAUCCAGCCAUGCCGCGUGGAUGAUGACGGCCUUAGGUGUAAAGCUCUUUCAGUAGGGAAGAUAAUGACGGUACCUACAGAAGAAGCCCCGGCUAACUUCGUGCCAGCAGCCGC